CAAACGGCCCUUUUCAGGGCCACCAAAUUUAAUGCAACGAUGCAU
Trichuris trichiura (human whipworm) is the source of this 45-nucleotide non-coding RNA. Lineage: Eukaryota; Metazoa; Nematoda; Enoplea; Trichinellida; Trichuridae. The record is from Rfam.